Molecule: ribosomal RNA, 515 nt
Filed under: uncultured bacterium
Lineage: Bacteria
Description: partial 16S ribosomal RNA
Rfam family: Bacterial small subunit ribosomal RNA
Source: RNAcentral
GACGAACGCUGGCGGCGUGCCUAAUACAUGCAAGUCGAGCGGACUUUCAAGAAGCUUGCUUUUUGAAAGUUAGCGGCGGACGGGUGAAUAACACGUGGGCAACCUGCCUGUAAGACGGGGAUAACUCCGGGAAACCGGGGCUAAUACCGGAUAAUAUCUUUCUUCGCAUGAAGGAAGGUUGAAAGGCGGCGCAAGCUGCCGCUUGCAGAUGGGCCCGCGGCGCAUUAGCUAGUUGGUGAGGUAACGGCUCACCAAGGCGACGAUGCGUAGCCGACCGGAGAGGGUGAGCGGCCACACUGGGACUGAGACACGGCCCAGACUCCUACGGGAGGCAGCAGUAGGGAAUCUUCCGCAAUGGACGAAAGUCUGACGGAGCAACGCCGCGUGAGCGAAGAAGGUCUUCGGAUCGUAAAGCUCUGUUGUCAGGGAAGAACAAGUACCGUUCGAAUAGGGCGGUACCUUGACGGUACCUGACCAGAAAGCCACGGCUAACUACGUGCCAGCCGCCGCGGUAA